CCGGGUGUCGCCCAGUUGGUAGGGCGCCUGCUUUGGGAGCAGGAUGCCGCAGGUUCGAAUCCUGUCACUCGGACCA
This 76-nucleotide transfer RNA is filed under the name Oscillospiraceae bacterium. Its description in RNAcentral is "tRNA-Pro". It matches the Rfam family "tRNA". Rfam says of the family: Transfer RNA (tRNA) molecules are approximately 80 nucleotides in length. Their secondary structure includes four short double-helical elements and three loops (D, anti-codon, and T loops). The record is from RNAcentral. Lineage: Bacteria; Bacillati; Bacillota; Clostridia; Eubacteriales; Oscillospiraceae.